UGAAGUUAGCGGCGGACGGGUGAGUAACACGUGGGUAACCUGCCCAUAAGACUGGGAUAACUCCGGGAAACCGGGGCUAAUACCGGAUAACAUUUUGAACCGCAUGGUUCGAAAUUGAAAGGCGGCUUCGGCUGUCACUUAUGGAUGGACCCGCGUCGCAUUAGCUAGUUGGUGAGGUAACGGCUCACCAAGGCAACGAUGCGUAGCCGACCUGAGAGGGUGAUCGGCCACACUGGGACUGAGACACGGCCCAGACUCCUACGGGAGGCAGCAGUAGGGAAUCUUCCGCAAUGGACGAAAGUCUGACGGAGCAACGCCGCGUGAGUGAUGAAGGCUUUCGGGUCGUAAAACUCUGUUGUUAGGGAAGAACAAGUGCUAGUUGAAUAAGCUGGCACCUUGACGGUACCUAACCAGAAAGCCACGGCUAACUACGUGCCAGCAGCCGCGGUAAUACGUAGGUGGCAAGCGUUAUCCGGAAUUAUUGGGCGUAAAGCGCGCGCAGGUGGUUUCUUAAGUCUGAUGUGAAAGCCCACGGCUCAACCGUGGAGGGUCAUUGGAAACUGGGAGACUUGAGUGCAGAAGAGGAAAGUGGAAUUCCAUGUGUAGCGGUGAAAUGCGUAGAGAUAUGGAGGAACACCAGUGGCGAAGGCGACUUUCUGGUCUGUAACUGACACUG
Molecule: ribosomal RNA, 676 nt
Filed under: Bacillus paramycoides
Lineage: Bacteria; Bacillati; Bacillota; Bacilli; Caryophanales; Bacillaceae
Description: bacterial SSU rRNA
Rfam family: Bacterial small subunit ribosomal RNA
Source: RNAcentral